UACGUAGGGACCGAGCGUUAUCCGGAAUCAUUGGGCGUAAAGAGCUCGUAGGCGGUUCAGAAAGUCGGCUGUGAAAGUCCAAGGCUCAACCUUGGAAAUGCAGUCGAGACUUCUGUGACUAGAGUCUGGUAGAGGAGAAUGGAAUUCCCGGUGUAGCGGUGGAAUGCGCAGAUAUCGGGAGGAACACCAGUAGCGAAGGCGGUUCUCUGGGCCUCGACUGACGCUGAGGAGCGAAAGCAUGGGUAGCAAACAGG
Molecule: ribosomal RNA, 254 nt
Filed under: uncultured bacterium
Lineage: Bacteria
Description: partial 16S ribosomal RNA
Rfam family: Bacterial small subunit ribosomal RNA
Source: RNAcentral